This 1416-nucleotide ribosomal RNA is filed under the name Triticum aestivum (bread wheat). RNAcentral's name for it is "partial small subunit ribosomal RNA". Lineage: Eukaryota; Viridiplantae; Streptophyta; Magnoliopsida; Poales; Poaceae. The record is from RNAcentral.
AUGAUGAUGCACCGUGCUACGAUCAUCGCGAUGAUCUGCUGCCUCGUGGCCGGCGGCGGGGCGCGCGCGCAGCCGUUCGACUACCCGGCGGCGAGGUUCGCCACGACCUGGGCCAACACGGACGCCGCCCUGCCGCACCACGUCGUCUACACCGACGGCUCCGUGGCGCGCGCAGCCCUGCUGCGGCUCAACCCGGCGGGCCUCGGCCCCUCCUACGCCUUCGGCUUCUUCUGCGCCGCCAACAGCCCCCGCGGCGACGGCACCGCGGCCCCGUGCACGGAGUUCCUGCUCGGCGUCGCCGUCGUGUACUGCAACAGCGGCGCGGGCAUGACGUUCGUCACGGCCGGCGUCCCGCAGGUCGUCUGGUCGGCCAACCGCGGCAGCCCCGUCAGGGAGGGCGCCACCACGGAGCUCACGCCGGAGGGCGACCUGGUUCUGAGGUCGGGCCCCGGCGGAGCGGUCUUGUGGUCCACUGGCACCAAGGGCCGCUCCGUCGCCGGGGCGCGCAUCGGCAGCGACGGCAACCUGGUGCUGUUCGAUGGGCGCAACGCCACGGUGUGGCAGUCGUUCGACCACCCCACGAAUGCGCUCCUCGUCGGGCAGUCGCUGAAGCACGGCGCUCGGCUCACCGCCAACGUGUCGGCCGCGGACUGGCGCGAUAGCAGGCUCUACCUCGCCGUCGACGACGAUGGACUGAACGCCUACGUCAACGCCGCGCCGCCGCAGCGCUACUACCACCUCCGCCUCAGCGAGACCUCACCCGGCGCCUACGCAACGUACACCAAUGGCAGCCUCACGGUGUCCGCCCGGCCCGGAGCGCCGCCACUGGCAGCCAUCGAGCUGCCCACCGUCGGCGCCGGCACGGUGCAGUACAUGCGGCUGGAGCACGACGGCCACCUCCGGAUCUACGAGUGGCGCUCGGGCUGGGCGCCGGUGUACGACGUGCUGCGCCUCUUCCCGGACGGCGGCUGCGCAUUUCCGACAGCGUGCGGCGCGUACGGCGUGUGCACGGACGACACGCAGUGCAGCUGCCCCGACGCGGCCAACUUCCGGCCGGUGGACUUCCGGAGGCCCAACCGCGGCUGCGUCCCGACGCCGCCGCCUCCAACGUCGUGCCGCCCGUCGCGGCGGCCACGCACGCAGCACCGGCUGGUGUCGCUGCCGGGCACAACCUACUUCAACGACCACACCACGAGCAUGCGGGCCGUGGAGCGAGUGAGCGAGGAGGCGUGCAAGAAGGCGUGCCUGGACGACUGCGCUUGCGCGGCGGCGCAGUUCUACUACGGCCCCGACGCCGGCGACGGGUCAUGCUACCUGCAGUCGGAGGUGUUCUCGAUGCAGACGGUGCAGCCGGAGGUGGUGCACUACAACUCCACCAUGCAUAUCAAGGUGCAGGCCAAGCCUGCUAGGAACUGA